RNAcentral lists this ribosomal RNA (590 nucleotides) under uncultured bacterium. Its description in RNAcentral is "partial 16S ribosomal RNA". It matches the Rfam family "Bacterial small subunit ribosomal RNA", at positions 355 to 1375 of the family's 1533-position model. The record is from RNAcentral.
UGGGGAAUAUUGCACAAUGGGCGCAAGCCUGAUGCAGCCAUGCCGCGUGUGUGAAGAAGGCCUUCGGGUUGUAAAGCACUUUCAGCGAGGAGGAAGGUGGUGAACUUAAUACGUUCAUCAAUUGACGUUACUCGCAGAAGAAGCACCGGCUAACUCCGUGCCAGCAGCCGCGGUAAUACGGAGGGUGCAAGCGUUAAUCGGAAUUACUGGGCGUAAAGCGCACGCAGGCGGUUUGUUAAGUCAGAUGUGAAAUCCCCGGGCUCAACCUGGGAACUGCAUUUGAAACUGGCAAGCUAGAGUCUCGUAGAGGGGGGUAGAAUUCCAGGUGUAGCGGUGAAAUGCGUAGAGAUCUGGAGGAAUACCGGUGGCGAAGGCGGCCCCCUGGACGAAGACUGACGCUCAGGUGCGAAAAGCGUGGGGAGCAAACAGGAUUAGAUACCCCUGGUAGUCCACGCUGUAAAACGAUGUCGAUUUUGGAGGUUGUGCCCUUGAGGCGUGGCUUCCGGAGCUAACGCGUUAAAUCGACCGCCUGGGGAGUACGGCCGCAAGGUUAAAACUCAAAUGAAUUGACGGGGUCAUAGCUGUUUCCU